RNAcentral lists this unclassified non-coding RNA (246 nucleotides) under Hevea brasiliensis (rubber tree). Lineage: Eukaryota; Viridiplantae; Streptophyta; Magnoliopsida; Malpighiales; Euphorbiaceae. The record is from RNAcentral.
UAGAGAAGCCUAACCUUACACAUCUUCUGAUUGUGGGCGAUCCGGAGGCGAGAUAAGUGCCUCUCUGCUCUCUUCAUCGGCUUUCUGAGACACAAUCGGCGUCUUGCCAGGAUAUAGUACAUAAUGUUGAAGCAUGAAAAGAAGAUCAAAGAAUAUGCUUAUCAAAGAGAGCAAUGUCUUCCCAAUAUUGCCAUAAAAGUUUACCCAUGAAUUUUGAUCUAUGGACUGCACUGUCAUCUGUGCAUA